Molecule: ribosomal RNA, 455 nt
Filed under: Dehalococcoides sp. enrichment culture clone AQ1-50
Lineage: Bacteria; Bacillati; Chloroflexota; Dehalococcoidia; Dehalococcoidales; Dehalococcoidaceae
Description: bacterial SSU rRNA
Rfam family: Bacterial small subunit ribosomal RNA
Source: RNAcentral
AAUGUANCGCUAGCGGCGUGCCUUAUGCAUGCAAGUCGAACGGUCUUAAGCAAUUAAGAUAGUGGCGAACGGGUGAGUAACGCGUAAGUAACCUACCUCUAAGUGGGGGAUAGCUUCGGGAAACUGAAGGUAAUACCGCAUGUGGUGGGCCGACAUAUGUUGGUUCACUAAAGCCGUAAGGCGCUUGGUGAGGGGCUUGCGUCCGAUUAGCUAGUUGGUGGGGUAAUGGCCUACCAAGGCUUCGAUCGGUAGCUGGUCUGAGAGGAUGAUCAGCCACACUGGGACUGAGACACGGCCCAGACUCCUACGGGAGGCAGCAGCAAGGAAUCUUGGGCAAUGGGCGAAAGCCUGACCCAGCAACGCCGCGUGAGGGAUGAAGGCUUUCGGGUUGUAAACCUCUUUUCAUAGGGAAGAAUAAUGACGGUACCUGUGGAAUAAGCUUCGGCUAACUACGU